GACGAACGCUGGCGGCGUGCCUAAUACAUGCAAGUUGAGCGCUGAAGGUUGGUACUUGUACCAACUGGAUGAGCAGCGAACGGGUGAGUAACGCGUGGGGAAUCUGCCUUUGAGCGGGGGACAACAUUUGGAAACGAAUGCUAAUACCGCAUAAAAACUUUAAACACAAGUUUUAAGUUUGAAAGAUGCAAUUGCAUCACUCAAAGAUGAUCCCGCGUUGUAUUAGCUAGUUGGUGAGGUAAAGGCUCACCAAGGCGAUGAUACAUAGCCGACCUGAGAGGGUGAUCAGCCACAUUGGGACUGAGACACGCCCCAAACUCCUACGGGAGGCAGCAGUAGGGAAUCGUCGGCAAUGGACGAAAGUCUGACCGAGCAACGCCGCGUGAGUGAAGAAGGUUGUCGGAUCGUAAAACUCUGUUGGUAGAGAAGAACGUUGGUGAGAGUGGAAAGCUCAUCAAGUGACGGUAACUACCCAGAAAGGGACGGCUAACUACGUG
RNAcentral lists this ribosomal RNA (497 nucleotides) under uncultured bacterium. RNAcentral describes it as "partial 16S ribosomal RNA". It matches the Rfam family "Bacterial small subunit ribosomal RNA", at positions 28 to 507 of the family's 1533-position model. The record is from RNAcentral.